Long non-coding RNA from Eurytemora carolleeae, 487 nucleotides. RefSeq lists it as uncharacterized. The record is from RefSeq and is a predicted model, not a curated record. The transcript has 2 exons. Lineage: Eukaryota; Metazoa; Arthropoda; Copepoda; Calanoida; Temoridae.
UAAAUUCAAAAACAUUUCAUGAUUCAUGAAAUCAGUUUUGAAUUUUUAAUAGUUUUUAAGACUACCAAAUUCUUAAUAAGUUCCCCCACCUUAAAUGUUCAUUAAAUGAAACCCUAUAGUGCACCCACACCCCCUUCAACAUUUUCCAGAGCGCCAGGCAGGCAAAGCCAAAAUGGCGCAGAUUUUCUAAAUUUUGUGCUUCGAAAGGAUAAGAGUUCAGUUUGCUCGAAUCUGUCUGGAACGGAGCCCUGUGACGGUCUGGAACGGAGCCCUGUGACGGUUAGGAACGAAGCUCUGCGACGAUUUGGAACUAAGAUUAUUUCCAAUUUGGAACAAAAUCUUGAGCAUUCUGACUUUCAGUGGAACAUUUCGGAACGCGACAACCUAACGGUCUGGAACGCGGAACUCGAAACAUCUAAGAAUCGUUUAAAAUCUGUGUGUCUGCGGUUCUAUUUUGUAAAGUACAAUUGAAGACAAAUCACGCCAA